UACGUAGGGCGCAAGCGUUAUCCGGAAUUAUUGGGCGUAAAGAGCUCGUAGGCGGCUUGUUGCGUCUGCUGUGAAAGUCCGGGGCUCAACCCCGGAUCUGCGGUGGGUACGGGCAGACUAGAGUGAUGUAGGGGAGACUGGAAUUCCUGGUGUAGCGGUGAAAUGCGCAGAUAUCAGGAGGAACACCGAUGGCGAAGGCAGGUCUCUGGGCAUUAACUGACGCUGAGGAGCGAAAGCGUGGGGAGCGAACAGG
This 253-nucleotide ribosomal RNA is filed under the name uncultured bacterium. RNAcentral describes it as "partial 16S ribosomal RNA". It matches the Rfam family "Bacterial small subunit ribosomal RNA", at positions 524 to 776 of the family's 1533-position model. The record is from RNAcentral.